AGUGAACGCUGGCGGUAGGCCUAACACAUGCAAGUCGAACGGCAGCACAGUAAGCGCUUUCUCUUACGGGUGGCGAGUGGCGGACGGGUGAGGAAUACAUCGGCAUCUACUUUUUCGUGGGGGAUAACGUAGGGAAACUUACGCUAAUACAGCAUACGACCUACGGGUGGAAGCAGCGGAUCUUCGGACCUUGCGCGAUUCAAUGAGCCGAUGUCGGAUUAGCUAGUUGGCGGGGUAAAGGCCCACCAAGGCGACGAUCCGUAGCUGGUCUGAGAGGAUGAUCAGCCACACUGGAACUGAGACACGGUCCAGACUCCUACGGGAGGCAGCAGUGGGGAAUAUUGGACAAUGGGCGCAAGCCUGAUCCAGCCAUGCCGCGUGGGUGAUGAAGGCCUUCGGGUUGUAAAGCCCUUUUGUUGGGAAAGAAAAGCAGCAGGUUAAUACCCCGCUGUUCUGACGGUACCCAAAGAAUAAGCACCGGCUAACUUCGUG
Molecule: ribosomal RNA, 492 nt
Filed under: uncultured bacterium
Lineage: Bacteria
Description: partial 16S ribosomal RNA
Rfam family: Bacterial small subunit ribosomal RNA
Source: RNAcentral